RNAcentral lists this ribosomal RNA (476 nucleotides) under Cyclophorus abditus. RNAcentral describes it as "bacterial SSU rRNA". It matches the Rfam family "Eukaryotic small subunit ribosomal RNA", at positions 1343 to 1831 of the family's 1831-position model. Lineage: Eukaryota; Metazoa; Mollusca; Gastropoda; Architaenioglossa; Cyclophoridae. The record is from RNAcentral.
CUAGCCUACUAAAUAGUUCGGCCAUCCCGCUUGCGUGGGUGCUAACUUCUUAGAGGGACAAGUGGGGUUUGGCCACACGAGAUUGAGCAAUAGCAGCUCUGUGAUGCCUUUAGAUGUCCGGGGCCGCACGAGCCCUACACUGAAGGAAUCAGCGUGGAUGCUUUCCUGGCCCGACAGGGUUGGGAAACACGUUGAAUCUCUUUCGUGAUAGGGAUUGGGGCUUGAAAUUCUUCCCCAUGAACGAGGAAUUCCCAGUAAGCGCGAGUCAUAAGCUAGCGUUGAUUACGUCCCUGCCGUUUGUACACACCGCCCGUCGCUACUACCCAUUGAACGGUUUAGUGAGGGCCUCGAGUUGGUCUCGGCCCGCCCUUCUCCGGCAGGCGUGGGGGGUGGAGAAGAUGGUCGAACUUGAUUGUUUAGAGGAAGUAAAAGUCGUAACAAGGUUUCAGGAGGUCAACCGGAAGAAGGAUCAUUAA